This 464-nucleotide ribosomal RNA is filed under the name uncultured bacterium. RNAcentral's name for it is "partial 16S ribosomal RNA". It matches the Rfam family "Bacterial small subunit ribosomal RNA", at positions 28 to 507 of the family's 1533-position model. The record is from RNAcentral.
GACGAACGCUGGCGGCGUGCUUAACACAUGCAAGUCGAACGGUAAGGCCCUUUCGGGGGUACUCGAGUGGCGAACGGGUGAGUAACACGUGGGUGAUCUGCCCUGCACUUUGGGAUAAGCCUGGGAAACUGGGUCUAAUACCGGAUAGGACUACGCGAUGCAUGUCGUGUGGUGGAAAGCUUUUGCGGUGUGGGAUGGGCCCGCGGCCUAUCAGCUUGUUGAUGGGGUGAUGGCCUACCAAGGCGACGACGGGUAGCUGGCCUGAGAGGGUGUCCGGCCACACUGAGACUGAGAUACGGCCCAGACUCCUACGGGAGGCAGCAGUGGGGAAUAUUGCACAAUGGGCGCAAGCCUGAUGCAGCGACGCCGCGUGGGGGAUGACGGCCUUCGGGUUGUAAACCCCUUUCAGCACAGACGAAGCGUAAGUGACGGUAUGUGCAGAAGAAGCACCGGCCAACUACGUG